Molecule: ribosomal RNA, 493 nt
Filed under: uncultured bacterium
Lineage: Bacteria
Description: bacterial SSU rRNA
Rfam family: Bacterial small subunit ribosomal RNA
Source: RNAcentral
AUUGAACGCUGGCGGCAUGCCUUACACAUGCAAGUCGAACGGCAGCGCGGGGCAACCUGGCGGCGAGUGGCGAACGGGUGAGUAAUAUAUCGGAACAUACCCUAGAGUGGGGAUAACGUAGCGAAAGUUACGCUAAUACCGCAUACGCACUAAGGUGGAAAGUGGGGGAUUCGCAAGAACCUCAUGCUCAUGGAGUGGCCGAUAUCUGAUUAGCUAGUUGGUGAGGUAAAGGCUCACCAAGGCAACGAUCAGUAGCUGGUUUGAGAGAACGACCAGCCACACUGGAACUGAGACACGGUCCAGACUCCUACGGGAGGCAGCAGUGGGGAAUUUUGGACAAUGGGGGCAACCCUGAUCCAGCAAUGCCGCGUGAGUGAAGAAGGUCUUCGGGUUGUAAAGCUCUUUUGUCAGGGAAGAAACGGUGAGAGCUAAUAUCUCUUGCUAAUGACGGUAUCUGAAGAAUAAGCACCGGCUAACUACGUGCCAGCAGCCG